UCCAAUCCAUGCUCGUUUAAAGCUUGACUAACAAGAAAAUUGAAUAGUCCACCAGUUAAAUGUGAAAUUUGCCAAAAGUUUACUAGCAGCAUGAGAUAAUUGGUUAAUCGUACUAAUCGCGUACCUUUCACUUGAUCCUUUGUAAAGAAACACUUAUAAGCAAUUCCUCGAAAAUUUACAGUUUCACAAUCAUUUGAUAAUUCUGAAUAACUUCCCCCGCUAAAACAUCCGUGCUCGUUCAUACAUUGUAUAAUAUCGAGGUCUUCACCUAUUCAUGAUAAAUAAGAAUUUCAAUAUGGAGCGUACCUAUGCAUAUAAUACUACAUGCUUUCGGUUCCUUCUUUUUGAGAUCGUUUAGCAACUUUUCCAAUAAUUCAUCCAUAUGCAAUUAUUUA
This is a non-coding RNA of Schizosaccharomyces pombe (fission yeast), 395 nucleotides long. The record is from the annotation of a GenBank genome assembly. NCBI's taxonomy places the organism in Eukaryota, Fungi, Ascomycota, Schizosaccharomycetes, Schizosaccharomycetales, Schizosaccharomycetaceae.